UAAAUUUGCUUUUUUAUACUUUUGUGGUAUAAUUAUCGCGUCGUUUCGGCGACUAUGGUAAUAAAUGUCGUGAUUAAUAAGCGACGUGGACUCGGGGGCAGAGCCCGACGUCUCCACCGACGGGUCUUGAGGGGACGAACAGAUUCGACACGCGUUGAAAAGCACGGUUUUUACCCGUGGCGGUUUACGUUACAGAACCAAAACUAUAAAUGCGAACGAUAAUUUUGUCGCAUGCAACGAUAACUUCGCGGACGGGGCAAUUGCCGUCGCCGCUUAGUUAAGUAGACGCGGUCAGGGGAGCCGGGCAACAGAACUCCCCGCU
Molecule: transfer-messenger RNA, 322 nt
Filed under: Holosporaceae bacterium
Lineage: Bacteria; Pseudomonadati; Pseudomonadota; Alphaproteobacteria; Holosporales; Holosporaceae
Rfam family: Alphaproteobacteria transfer-messenger RNA
About the family: Bacterial tmRNA, also known as 10Sa RNA or SsrA, is named for its dual tRNA and mRNA-like properties. Its role is to liberate the mRNA from a stalled ribosome.
Source: RNAcentral